GUGCUCGCUUUGGCAGCACAUGCACUAAAACUGAACCAAUACAAAGAUUAGCAUGGCCCCUGCACAAGGGUGACACGCAGAUUCGUGAAGCAUUCCACAUUUUU
This is a small nuclear RNA of Cavia porcellus (domestic guinea pig), 104 nucleotides long. The record is from Ensembl. NCBI's taxonomy places the organism in Eukaryota, Metazoa, Chordata, Mammalia, Rodentia, Caviidae.